AGCACUGUAGAGAGUUUGAUCCUGGCUCAGGAUGAACGCUGGCGGCGUGCCUAACACAUGCAAGUCGAGCGGCAGCGCGAGUAGUUUACUACUUGGCGGCGAGCGGCGGACGGCUGAGUAACGCGUGGGAACGUGCCCCAAAGUGAGGAAUAACUGCCCGAAAGGGUAGCUAAUGCCGCAUAUGAUCUUCGGAUUAAAGAAUUUAUUCGCUUUGGGAGCGGCCCGCGUACGAUUAGAUAGUUGGUGAGGUAAUGGCUCACCAAGUCUACGAUCGUUAACUGGUUUGAGAGGAUGAUCAGUCAGACUGGAACUGAGACACGGUCCAGACUCCUACGGGAGGCAGCAGUGAGGAAUCUUCCACAAUGGGCGAAAGCCUGAUGGAGCAACGCCGCGUGCAGGAUGAAGGCCUUCGGGUCGUAAACUGCUUUUAUAAGUGAAGAAUAUGACGGUAACUUAUGAAUAAGGAUCGGCUAACUACGUGCCAGCMGCCGCGGUAAUA
This 499-nucleotide ribosomal RNA is filed under the name uncultured bacterium. RNAcentral describes it as "bacterial SSU rRNA". It matches the Rfam family "Bacterial small subunit ribosomal RNA", at positions 1 to 525 of the family's 1533-position model. The record is from RNAcentral.